AGAGUUUGAUCCUGGCUCAGAUUGAACGCUGGCGGCGUGCUUAACACAUGCAAGUCGAACGUGAAAGUCCUUCGGGAUGAGUAAUGUGGCGCACGGGUGAGUAACGCGUGGAUAAUCUACCUUCAAGACGGGGAUAACGGUUGGAAACGGCCGCUAAUACCGGAUACGCUAUAUAUUAUAACGUUAUAUAGGAAAUGAUAGCCUCUGCUUGCAAGCUAUUGCUUGAAGAUGAGUCCGCGUCCCAUUAGCUAGUUGGUGAGGUAAAAGCUCACCAAGGCAACGAUGGGUAGCCGUUCUAAGAGGAUGAUCGGCCACACUGGAACUGGAACACGGUCCAGACUCCUACGGGAGGCAGCAGUGGGGAAUAUUGCGCAAUGGGCGAAAGCCUGACGCAGCGACGCCGCGUGAGGGAUGAAGGUCUUCGGAUCGUAAACCUCUGUCAGAGGGGAAGAAGUGUGUCUAUUCAAAUAGGGUAGGCAUUUGACGGUACCCUCAAAGGAAGCACCGGCUAACUCCGUGCCAGCAGCCGCGGUAAUACGGAGGGUGCGAGCGUUAAUCGGAAUUACUGGGCGUAAAGCGCACGUAGGUGGUUUUGUAAGUCAGGGGUGAAAUCCCACCGCUCAACGGUGGAACAGCCUUUGAUACUGCAUCACUAGAGUAUCGGAGAGGGUGGCGGAAUUCCAGGUGUAGGAGUGAAAUCCGUAGAUAUCUGGAGGAACACCGGUGGCGAAGGCGGCCACCUGGACGAAAACUGACACUGAGGUGCGAAAGCAUGGGGAGCAAACAGGAUUAGAUACCCUGGUAGUCCAUGCUGUA
Molecule: ribosomal RNA, 816 nt
Filed under: uncultured bacterium
Lineage: Bacteria
Description: bacterial SSU rRNA
Rfam family: Bacterial small subunit ribosomal RNA
Source: RNAcentral